GCAUAUCUAUGAGCGGAGGAAAAGAAACCAACAGGGAUUGCCCUUAGUAACGGCGUAGUGAAGCGGCAACAGCUUCAAAUUUGAAAUCUGCCUUCGGGCCGAGUUUGUAAUUUGUAGAGGAAGCUUUUGGUGAGGCACCUUCUGAGUCCCCUGGAACGGGGCGCCAUAGAGGGUGAGAGCCCCGUAUAGUCGGAUGCCGAUCCAAUGUAAAGCUCCUUCGACGAGUCGAGUAGUUUGGGAAUGCUGCUCAAAAUGGGAGGUAAAUUUCUUCUAAAGCUAAAUACCGGCCAGAGACCGAUAGCGCACAAGUAGAGUGAUCGAAAGAUGAAAAGCACCUUGAAAAGGGGGUUAAAUAGCACGUGAAAUUGUUGAAAGGGAAGCGUUUGCGGCCAGACUUGCGCCGCCCCGAUCAUCCGGUGUUCUCACCGGUGCACUCGGGGCGGCGCAGGCCAGCAUCGGUUUCGGCGGGGGGAUAAAGGUCCGGGGAACGUAGCUCCUUCGGGAGUGUUAUAGCCCCGGGCGUAAUGCCCUCGCCGGGACCGAGGUUCGCGCAUCUGCAAGGAUGCUGGCGUAAUGGCCGCCAACGACCCGUCUUGAAACACGGACCAAGGAGUCAAGGUUUUGCGCGAGUGUUUGGGUGUAAAACCCGCACGCGUAAUGAAAGUGAACGUAGGUGAGAGCUUCGGCGCAUCAUCGACCGAUCCUGAUGUAUUCGGAUGGAUUUGAGUAAGAGCGUUAAGCCUUGGACCCGAAAGAUGGUGAACUAUGCUUGGAUAGGGUGAAGCCAGAGGAAACUCUGGUGGAGGCUCGCAGCGGUUUCUGACGUGCAAAUCGAUUCGUCAAAUCUGAGCAUGGGGGGCGAAAGACUAAUCGAACCAUCUAGUAGCUGGUUACCGCCGA
This 900-nucleotide ribosomal RNA is filed under the name Neurospora cerealis. Its description in RNAcentral is "LSU rRNA". It matches the Rfam family "Eukaryotic large subunit ribosomal RNA", at positions 38 to 964 of the family's 3401-position model. The record is from RNAcentral. Lineage: Eukaryota; Fungi; Ascomycota; Sordariomycetes; Sordariales; Sordariaceae.